AGAGAAUUUCUUGAACCCGGGAGGCGGAGAUUGCAGUGAGCCGAGAUCAUGCCACUGCACUCCAGCUUGGGCAACAGAG
Molecule: small nuclear RNA, 79 nt
Filed under: Homo sapiens (human)
Lineage: Eukaryota; Metazoa; Chordata; Mammalia; Primates; Hominidae
Description: partial ncRNA
Source: RNAcentral